GACUUCGACUCCAACACGAAAGUCGUAGCUCUCUCUCUUAGCUUUCCGGAGAUUUUUAGAACGCCUCAAACGGAUUCUCGGAACUCCAGUUAUGAUUGUUUCCGCGCAGACUGCUAAAGCUGAAAAAUAAGUGCGAAAAUUAAAUUUAACUAAAAAUAAAAUAAAAUAUGAAAACAUAAUAAAAUAUAAAAAUAAACAAAAUAAAAUAAAGA
RNAcentral lists this long non-coding RNA (212 nucleotides) under Lathyrus oleraceus (garden pea). RNAcentral describes it as "Pisum sativum (pea) long non-coding RNA (PSAT_LNC037349)". The record is from RNAcentral. Lineage: Eukaryota; Viridiplantae; Streptophyta; Magnoliopsida; Fabales; Fabaceae.